AUUGAACGCUGGCGGCAGGCCUAACACAUGCAAGUCGAACGGUAGCACAGAGAGCUUGCUCUCGGGCGACGAGUGGCGGACGGGUGAGUAACGUCUGGGAAACUGCCCGAUGGAGGGGGAUAACUACUGGAAACGGUAGCUAAUACCGCAUAACGUCGCAAGACCAAAGUGGGGGACCUUCGGGCCUCACACCAUCGGAUGUGCCCAGAUGGGAUUAGCUAGUAGGUGGGGUAAUGGCUCACCUAGGCGACGAUCCCUAGCUGGUCUGAGAGGAUGACCAGCCACACUGGAACUGAGACACGGUCCAGACUCCUACGGGAGGCAGCAGUGGGGAAUAUUGCACAAUGGGCGCAAGCCUGAUGCAGCCAUGCCGCGUGUAUGAAGAAGGCCUUCGGGUUGUAAAGUACUUUCAGCGGGGAGGAAGGCGGUGAAGCUAACAGCUUCACCGAUUGACGUUACCCGCAGAAGAAGCACCGGCUAACUCCGUGCCAGCCGCCGCCGUAA
Molecule: ribosomal RNA, 504 nt
Filed under: uncultured bacterium
Lineage: Bacteria
Description: partial 16S ribosomal RNA
Rfam family: Bacterial small subunit ribosomal RNA
Source: RNAcentral